This 253-nucleotide ribosomal RNA is filed under the name uncultured bacterium. Its description in RNAcentral is "partial 16S ribosomal RNA". It matches the Rfam family "Bacterial small subunit ribosomal RNA", at positions 524 to 776 of the family's 1533-position model. The record is from RNAcentral.
UACGAAGGGGGCUAGCGUUUCUCGGAAUCACUGGGCGUAAAGCGCACGUAGGCGGCUUUCUAAGUCAGGGGUGAAAUCCUGGAGCUCAACUCCAGAACUGCCUUUGAUACUGGAGAGCUUGAGUCCGGAAGAGGUGAGUGGAACUGCGAGUGUAGAGGUGAAAUUCGUAGAUAUUCGCAAGAACACCAGUGGCGAAGGCGGCUCACUGGUCCGGUACUGACGCUGAGGUGCGAAAGCGUGGGGAGCAAACAGG